Molecule: ribosomal RNA, 361 nt
Filed under: uncultured organism
Description: bacterial SSU rRNA
Rfam family: Bacterial small subunit ribosomal RNA
Source: RNAcentral
UGCUUAACACAUGCAAGUCGAACGCCUGUAGCAAUACAGGAGUGGCAGACGGGUGAGUAACGCGUGGGAAUGUACCCUAAGGUUCGGAACAACAGUUGGAAACGACUGCUAAUACCGGAUAAGCUCGAGAGAGGAAAGGUUUACCGCCUUGGGAGCAGCCCGCGUUAGAUUAGGUAGUUGGUGGGGUAAAGGCCUACCAAGCCUACGAUCUAUAGCUGGUCUGAGAGGAUGAUCAGCCACACUGGGACUGAGACACGGCCCAGACUCCUACGGGAGGCAGCAGUGGGGAAUAUUGGACAAUGGGGGAAACCCUGAUCCAGCAAUGCCGCGUGAGUGAUAAGGCCUUCGGGUUGUAAAGCUC